This 488-nucleotide long non-coding RNA is filed under the name Linum usitatissimum (flax). RNAcentral's name for it is "long non-coding RNA (LUSI_LNC005198)". The record is from RNAcentral. Lineage: Eukaryota; Viridiplantae; Streptophyta; Magnoliopsida; Malpighiales; Linaceae.
GCUCCCCCCCCCCCGCCGGAGGAGGCGGUUUUUGCUGAUGUGAGCGGCGCCGGUCGCAUUUCUUCUUCCUCCUCCUCCUCGUCUUCCCCCUCUUCUUCUUGUUCUAGGUCUUGGUGCUCGUCAAACUCCAUUCCUCGGUAUCUGAUAGUUACAUCGGAGCUCGAGGUCAUCCCAUCACACACACUUGGGAAUGAAUUAUGGUGAUGGAGGAUUUGUGGUGAGGGGGGGGAAAGAGAUCGGAGGGGUUGUAUUUGUUGGUGUUUGGGGGGUUUGGUGGUGCUAAAGGAAGUAAUGGAGAUGAUGACGGGUGUGUGGGUAGCAGUAAAGAGAUAAGAAGGGGCAAGUUUGAAAGUGGGAAGCAGAGUGUGGUCAUCAAUUUUUACUCUGCUGUGGACAGAAGGAGCAACCCUACUUAUUACAUAUUUUUUCCUCGGAAAUAUCGAGAUAAAAAAAAAAUCCAGAAAUAAAAAACAUCGGAGAUAUCGAAA